Molecule: ribosomal RNA, 468 nt
Filed under: uncultured bacterium
Lineage: Bacteria
Description: partial 16S ribosomal RNA
Rfam family: Bacterial small subunit ribosomal RNA
Source: RNAcentral
GACGAACGCUGGCGGCGUGCUUAACACAUGCAAGUCGAACGGAAAGGCACUGCUUUUGUGGGGUGCUCGAUUGGCGAACGGGUGAGUAACACGCGUGUAACCUGCCCUUGACUUUGGGAUAACUUCAGGAAACUGGGGCUAAUACCGGAUAGGAGCUCCUGCCGCAUGGUGGGGGUUGGAAAGUUUCGGCGGUUGGGGCUGGACUCGCGGCUUAUCAGCUUGUUGGUGGGGUAGUGGCUUACCAAGGCUUUGACGGGUAGCCGGCCUGAGAGGGUGACCGGCCACAUUGGGACUGAGAUAGGGCCCAGACUCCUACGGGAGGCAGCAGUGGGGAAUAUUGCACAAUGGGCGGAAGCCUGAUGCAGCGACGCCGCGUGCGGAAAGACGGCCUUCGGGUUGUAACCCGCUUUCGCCUGUGACGAAGCGUGAGUGACGGUAAUGGGUAAAGAAGCACCGGCUAACUACGUG